UGGGGAAUAUUGCACAAUGGGCGGAAGCCUGAUGCAGCGACGCCGCGUGGGGGAUGAAGGCCUUCGGGUUGUAAACUCCUUUCGACAGGGACGAAGCUUUUGUGACGGUACCUGUAUAAGAAGCACCGGCUAACUACGUGCCAGCAGCCGCGGUAAUACGUAGGGUGCGAGCGUUGUCCGGAAUUACUGGGCGUAAAGAGCUCGUAGGUGGUUUGUCGCGUCGUCUGUGAAAUUCCGGGGCUUAACUCCGGGCGUGCAGGCGAUACGGGCUGACUUGAGUGCUGUAGGGGAGACUGGAAUUCCUGGUGUAGCGGUGAAAUGCGCAGAUAUCAGGAGGAACACCGAUGGCGAAGGCAGGUCUCUGGGCAGUAACUGACGCUGAGGAGCGAAAGCAUGGGUAGCGAACAGGAUUAGAUACCCUGGUAGUCCAUGCCGUAAACGGUGGGCGCUAGGUGUAGGGGGCUUCCACGUCUUCUGUGCCGUAGCUAACGCAUUAAGCGCCCCGCCUGGGGGAGUACGGCCGCAAGGCUA
This 531-nucleotide ribosomal RNA is filed under the name uncultured bacterium. RNAcentral describes it as "bacterial SSU rRNA". It matches the Rfam family "Bacterial small subunit ribosomal RNA", at positions 355 to 896 of the family's 1533-position model. The record is from RNAcentral.